Molecule: ribosomal RNA, 523 nt
Filed under: uncultured bacterium
Lineage: Bacteria
Description: bacterial SSU rRNA
Rfam family: Bacterial small subunit ribosomal RNA
Source: RNAcentral
AGGGUUUGAUCAUGGCUCAGAUUGAACGCUGGCGGCAGGCCUAACACAUGCAAGUCGAGCGAAUGAGGGGAGCUUGCUCCCUGAUUUAGCGGCGGACGGGUGAGUAAUGUAUAGGGAGCUGCCCGAUAGAGGGGGAUACCAGUUGGAAACGACUGUUAAUACCGCAUAAUGUCUACGGACCAAAGUGUGGGACCUUCGGGCCACAUGCUAUCGGAUGCACCUAUAUGGGAUUAGCUAGUUGGUGGGGUAACGGCUCACCAAGGCGACGAUCCCUAGCUGGUUUGAGAGGAAGAUCAGCCACACUGGGACUGAGACACGGCCCAGACUCCUACGGGAGGCAGCAGUGGGGAAUAUUGGACAAUGGGCGCAAGCCUGAUCCAGCCAUGCCGCGUGUGUGAAGAAGGCCUUCGGGUUGUAAAGCACUUUCAGCGAGGAGGAAGGGUGUUGUGUUAAUANCACANCANUUUGACGUUACUCGCANAAGAAGCACCGGCUAACUCCGUGCCAGCCGCCGCGGUAAUAC